GAAACAGUAGCUUAUGUGGUAUAAGCGUCAGAUUGAAGCUCUGAAGAUAUACGUUCGACUCGUAUCUGUUUCAC
RNAcentral lists this transfer RNA (74 nucleotides) under Dokdonia pacifica. RNAcentral describes it as "tRNA-Phe". It matches the Rfam family "tRNA". From Rfam's summary of the family: Transfer RNA (tRNA) molecules are approximately 80 nucleotides in length. Their secondary structure includes four short double-helical elements and three loops (D, anti-codon, and T loops). Lineage: Bacteria; Pseudomonadati; Bacteroidota; Flavobacteriia; Flavobacteriales; Flavobacteriaceae. The record is from RNAcentral.